RNAcentral lists this ribosomal RNA (544 nucleotides) under uncultured bacterium. Its description in RNAcentral is "partial 16S ribosomal RNA". It matches the Rfam family "Bacterial small subunit ribosomal RNA", at positions 355 to 889 of the family's 1533-position model. The record is from RNAcentral.
UGGGGAAUCUUCCGCAAUGGACGAAAGUCUGACGGAGCAACGCCGCGUGUAUGAUGAAGGUCUUCGGAUUGUAAAGUACUGUCAUUGGGGAAGAACGGUUUUCUUGAAAAGAUUGGGAAGACAUGACGGUACCCAAGGAGGAAGCCCCGGCUAACUACGUGCCAGCAGCCGCGGUAAUACGUAGGGGGCAAGCGUUGUCCGGAAUUAUUGGGCGUAAAGGGCGCGUAGGCGGGCCUUUAAGUCCGGUGUGAAAGAUCAGGGCUCAACCCUGAGAGUGCAUCGGAAACUGGAGGCCUUGAGGACAGGAGAGGAAAGUGGAAUUCCACGUGUAGCGGUGAAAUGCGUAGAUAUGUGGAGGAACACCAGUGGCGAAGGCGACUUUCUGGACUGUAACUGACGCUGAGGCGCGAAAGCGUGGGGAGCAAACAGGAUUAGAUACCCUGGUAGUCCACGCCGUAAACGAUGAGUGCUAGGUGUAGAGGGUAUCGACCCCUUCUGUGCCGCAGUUAACACAAUAAGCACUCCGCCUGGGGAGUACGGCCGC